AAGUCGUAACAAGGUUUCCGUAGGUGAACCUGCGGAAGGAUCAUUAUUGAAAUAAACCUGAUGGGUUGUUGCUGGUUCUCUAGGGAGCAUGUGCACGCCUUGUCAUCUUUAUAUCUCCACCUGUGCACUUUUUGUAGACCUUUCAGGUCUAUGUUGCUUCAUUUACCCCAAUGUAUGUUAAUAGAAUGUUGUGCCUAUAUAAUAUAUACAA
RNAcentral lists this unclassified non-coding RNA (211 nucleotides) under plant metagenome. RNAcentral describes it as "partial contains small subunit ribosomal RNA and internal transcribed spacer 1". The stretch from base 1 to 46 matches the Rfam family "Eukaryotic small subunit ribosomal RNA", at positions 1786 to 1831 of the family's 1831-position model. The record is from RNAcentral.